CGGCACGUAGCGCAGCCUGGUAGCGCACCGUCAUGGGGUGUCGGGGGUCGGAUGUUCAAAUCCUCUCGUGCCGACCA
This 77-nucleotide transfer RNA is filed under the name Salmonella enterica. RNAcentral's name for it is "tRNA-Pro". It matches the Rfam family "tRNA". Rfam says of the family: Transfer RNA (tRNA) molecules are approximately 80 nucleotides in length. Their secondary structure includes four short double-helical elements and three loops (D, anti-codon, and T loops). Lineage: Bacteria; Pseudomonadati; Pseudomonadota; Gammaproteobacteria; Enterobacterales; Enterobacteriaceae. The record is from RNAcentral.